Molecule: non-coding RNA, 996 nt
Organism: Pelobates cultripes (western spadefoot toad)
Lineage: Eukaryota; Metazoa; Chordata; Amphibia; Anura; Pelobatidae
Source: the annotation of a GenBank genome assembly
CGAGUAUGUUUUCCUGGCACUAUAGUGGUCCUUUAACCAUAUACUUUGGAUAGUAUAUUUUUUCAUUUGUAUGGCGUUUUAUAGCUUUCCCAUUUUGCUGUUCUCUAUGUCUAUACAUUGUAUAAAAUUGUAUUAUGUUAUUUCCGGAUUACCUCACUAGUUACAAUACAUGGUUCUCUUUUGGGGCCACUUCUCUACUGCAAUGUACAUAUUAUUCCUAAGAAACCAUACAAAAAAAGUUCCUUGUUUUUGCAGAUAGCAGACUAAUCUAUUUUUUGAUCUAAAAGACAAGUUUGCAAAAAGACAAGGUGGACCUCUAGGAACACAGGGUCAUCUUUCAGUUAAUCGCACUUACAUUUGGCACUGAAUUGUACCUUGCCAUUCAUCUUUUGCCCCUGAAUCUGAUGGCCUCUUUACUGUAACCCAAGCCCAAAGAUAACACAGAGUUCCACAGAUUCCCAUGUCUGAAUAUAUUCUGUGGGACUAUGGAAAACCUGCACGUUCACUUACUCAUUCAGUAUGACCGUGACAAAGGUCUACGUAAUGUGAGAAUUUGGGGUAAAUCUAAAAACACGUCAACUGUUUUUGUUUUUUUUCAUUCUUUAUUUUUUGCCGAUCUUGGCAAGGUCAUCAAGUAGAACAAUCCAGUCUUCAGUAACAUAAGUAUGAUACAUUUUGACAAUACUUUGAUUGCGCAGUUAAUGCAACUUAAUUGUUAUAUGCAUACCUGUAACUUUAGAAGUUGAGACGUUUGGCAGCGGUUAUUGAGGUUGGGUCUAUUCUUCAGGUACGUACAAUCGUACGUGUCUAUUUGCUGAUGUAACCAAGCCCAGCGGAGUUUCAAGUGGCAGUAGGCCAAGUCGGAAGAUGCAUUAUUUUACUGGCAAUACAUAUUGACAAUAGUGCAAUGAAUACGUAUGUCACUGCGUUUAUUUUGGACUCGCCUUAUGAGGAUUUUUCUGUUUCAUUUUUCUUUCUGGUAUACGUGUUUCAGUG